Molecule: ribosomal RNA, 1383 nt
Filed under: Lactiplantibacillus plantarum
Lineage: Bacteria; Bacillati; Bacillota; Bacilli; Lactobacillales; Lactobacillaceae
Description: bacterial SSU rRNA
Rfam family: Bacterial small subunit ribosomal RNA
Source: RNAcentral
GAUUGGUGCUUGCAUCAUGAUUUACAUUUGAGUGAGUGGCGAACUGGUGAGUAACACGUGGGAAACCUGCCCAGAAGCGGGGGAUAACACCUGGAAACAGAUGCUAAUACCGCAUAACAACUUGGACCGCAUGGUCCGAGCUUGAAAGAUGGCUUCGGCUAUCACUUUUGGAUGGUCCCGCGGCGUAUUAGCUAGAUGGUGGGGUAACGGCUCACCAUGGCAAUGAUACGUAGCCGACCUGAGAGGGUAAUCGGCCACAUUGGGACUGAGACACGGCCCAAACUCCUACGGGAGGCAGCAGUAGGGAAUCUUCCACAAUGGACGAAAGUCUGAUGGAGCAACGCCGCGUGAGUGAAGAAGGGUUUCGGCUCGUAAAACUCUGUUGUUAAAGAAGAACAUAUCUGAGAGUAACUGUUCAGGUAUUGACGGUAUUUAACCAGAAAGCCACGGCUAACUACGUGCCAGCAGCCGCGGUAAUACGUAGGUGGCAAGCGUUGUCCGGAUUUAUUGGGCGUAAAGCGAGCGCAGGCGGUUUUUUAAGUCUGAUGUGAAAGCCUUCGGCUCAACCGAAGAAGUGCAUCGGAAACUGGGAAACUUGAGUGCAGAAGAGGACAGUGGAACUCCAUGUGUAGCGGUGAAAUGCGUAGAUAUAUGGAAGAACACCAGUGGCGAAGGCGGCUGUCUGGUCUGUAACUGACGCUGAGGCUCGAAAGUAUGGGUAGCAAACAGGAUUAGAUACCCUGGUAGUCCAUACCGUAAACGAUGAAUGCUAAGUGUUGGAGGGUUUCCGCCCUUCAGUGCUGCAGCUAACGCAUUAAGCAUUCCGCCUGGGGAGUACGGCCGCAAGGCUGAAACUCAAAGGAAUUGACGGGGGCCCGCACAAGCGGUGGAGCAUGUGGUUUAAUUCGAAGCUACGCGAAGAACCUUACCAGGUCUUGACAUACUAUGCAAAUCUAAGAGAUUAGACGUUCCCUUCGGGGACAUGGAUACAGGUGGUGCAUGGUUGUCGUCAGCUCGUGUCGUGAGAUGUUGGGUUAAGUCCCGCAACGAGCGCAACCCUUAUUAUCAGUUGCCAGCAUUAAGUUGGGCACUCUGGUGAGACUGCCGGUGACAAACCGGAGGAAGGUGGGGAUGACGUCAAAUCAUCAUGCCCCUUAUGACCUGGGCUACACACGUGCUACAAUGGAUGGUACAACGAGUUGCGAACUCGCGAGAGUAAGCUAAUCUCUUAAAGCCAUUCUCAGUUCGGAUUGUAGGCUGCAACUCGCCUACAUGAAGUCGGAAUCGCUAGUAAUCGCGGAUCAGCAUGCCGCGGUGAAUACGUUCCCGGGCCUUGUACACACCGCCCGUCACACCAUGAGAGUUUGUAACACCCAAAGUCGG